This 290-nucleotide small RNA is filed under the name Pongo abelii (Sumatran orangutan). RNAcentral describes it as "retained intron". The record is from RNAcentral. Lineage: Eukaryota; Metazoa; Chordata; Mammalia; Primates; Hominidae.
CUGCUGUGGGAGCCGGCAACCCCUGGGCCUCUCCCCAUGCUGCCUCCCCUCAUCGAUCCCUGGGACCCUGGCCUGACUGCCCGGGACCUGCUUUUCCGCGGAGGGUACCGGUAUCGGAGGCGGCCCCGAGUCGUGCUGGAUGUUACUGAGCAGGUGAGUGGGCCCACGGGGGACAGUGCUGCGUAGCCUGGAGACUGUGCUUAGUGACCUGGCCUCCUCCUCUCCCCAGAUCAGCCGGUUCCUCUGGGAUCAUGGAGACGUAGCCUUUGCGCCCCUGGGGAAGCUGAUGC